Molecule: non-coding RNA, 15305 nt
Organism: Podarcis lilfordi (Lilford's wall lizard)
Lineage: Eukaryota; Metazoa; Chordata; Lepidosauria; Squamata; Lacertidae
Source: the annotation of a GenBank genome assembly
CAAUCAACCCAGAGCACCACCAGGAUUUAUAGAGGGACUUUGUUAAUCACCCAAUUGCUACAAGAGCCUUGUUCUCUUCCUAUCUAGGCACUCUAAGCUAGGAUAUGGGAAAGCUUUGGGUCUCCAAUGUUGAUGAUCUACAGCUCCCAUCAAGCUGAUGUUGGUAGGAGCUGAUGGGAGUUGAACAACAUCUGGAGGACCACAGUUUCCCCAUUCCUAUCCUUCCAUAAUGGACCAAUAUGCAACCUGCCUCUUCAGUUAUCUAAAUUUCAGUGGAUAAAUGAUAAAGCAGCCUUUGCUUAGAUACACCUGGAUCUGGAUAUAUCUGGAAGGUAAGAUAGAAAGUAGAUGCUAUAUAGCAUAAAAAAUUAUGUUGAUGUGGGUGCAAGCUUUUAAUAGUCACAAAGCUCCUUGCUAAAGCUGGGUAACAGCUAACAGUUCACUGAUCUACAAGUGCAAAUAUUUGAGUUAUUUGAAUUAUUUCACUGUGUCUGUUGGUAAUUUACACAUGUUCUGAUAAUUCUGAUUAUUGAUGGCAUUGCAUUUCAGAGGAUAACUAUAUCUUGCAGCUAUCACUUAGAGGUGUUGGUGAUUAAAUGGUAUAUAAAACCUGUUAAAUAAAAUAAUAAAUACCUUGCGUCACUUGACCAACCCAGUUUAUAACCACAGAUUAUUUUGACAUGUUUGUUCCAUCAAUAAAUUCAUGUGGUUUCACCCUGACAUAAUUCGGAAUCAUCCAAAAGACAAAGUUAUUUUGUUUCUCAUGUUCUUUAGUUGUGGGAGCAUGGUUGCAUUUCCUGACUGAUCCAGGGUGAGCGGGGUCACUAAAAUUCUGGAGCCAUGAUUGCCUGGUUGAUAUUUUGUAAAGCAUUUAAGUUGGUCUCAGGCUGCCUUAUUAGGAAGAAGGAUGAUAUCAUUUGUAUAGCCUUUAUGCCAAAAAUCGUAAUACACUUGCAAUAUCAGAAAGGCAGCAAUCUUUGCAUUAUGGGUUUCUAUCCACCGAGUGGCUCCCUCAGCCAUUUUAUAAAGGGGUGCCUUAUUUCCAGAAAAAGCAGGCAGGUUAAUCUAAGCACUCAAAUUCAAAACAGUUCACCUUUGUCCUUGUUUUUCUUAUAUCAUGGGAAUAAUUUAAGCGAGACUUGGAGGAACAAAUACCUGAAUAGGACUAUUGGGAGACUUGAAUCCAGGACGAGAUCCCUUUAAUUCAGAUGGGGGCAAAUACUAGAAUAACAUGAGGGGAGAGUAAUAUUGAUUGCACAAAUUGUUCUUCUUCCCCUUCAACAGAUUAAAAGGAUGUUGACAUUAGAGAGGAGAAAUGAAACCACCAUUACAGAAUUUGUCCUUCAUGGCUUUGGAGAACUCCAGGAGUUACAUAUUCUUCUCUUUGUGCUGUUUCUAAUCAUCUACAUCAUGACGAUGGCUGGGAACCUGAUCAUUGUCACAUUGGUUGUGACUGAUCAGCACCUCCACACCCCCAUGUACUUCUUCCUGGGCAACUUGUCUUGCUUGGAGACCUGCUAUAGCUCGACCAUCCUCCCCAGAAUUCUGGCCAGUUUAUUAAGCAAAAACCCAGGUGUAUCCGUUAAUGGCUGCAUUGUGCAAUUAUGGGCAUUUGUUUUCUUAGCAGUAACUGAGUGCUAUCUCCUGGCAGCAAUGUCUUAUGACCGUUACAUAGCAAUAUGCCGCCCCUUGCAUUAUUCUGUCCUUAUGAAUUUCAAGGUUUGUCUCCAGCUGGUAGCUGGGUCUUGGAUUGGCAGUUUUGUCAUAGACACAAUAUUGUUAGGUUUUAUACUACAGGUAACCUUCUGUGGCCACAAUGUGAUUGAGCAUUUCUUUUGUGAUUUCAUUCCGAUGAUGAACCUGGCCUGCAGUGAUGCAAGUCAGGUGAAACUGGUAUCGGCUGUUCUGACUUCUAUCUCUACCCUGCCACCAUUCGUUCUGACUAUAGCAUCAUACGUAUGCAUCAUCACUGCCAUUCUUGGCAUCCCAUCCACCACAGGAAGGCAAAAGGCUUUCUCCACUUGCUCUUCCCAUCUCAUUGUGGUGACCAUUUUCUAUGGCUCUCUCACCAUUGUGUAUCUUUUACAAGACAACAAUCAACUGAGAACACUCAAUAAGGUAUUCUCUAUCUUUUAUACCAUCUUGACACCUCUGCUUAAUCCCCUUAUAUACAGCCUGAGGAACAAAGAGGUGAAGGAGGCCUUAAGGAGAACAGCCAACAAAUGUGCUAACUGUAUAAGAGUUCAUUGAAUUUUGUUUUCUUUUUCUCUCCCCCCCCCCCCGAUUCUAACAAAAAUAUUCUCCCAUUUACUCCAAUGUAAAUCUGAAACACUAAAGUCAACGGGGUUUUACUCCAGAUUUAGAAACAGCAGCGAUUAAUGAUCUUCCUAACAUGUAGCCUUGGAAGCAGCGAGCAUUCAGGUAGCACUUUUCAAAUCCAUAUGCUAAUUCCUAUCAAGUUGGUUCUGGAGCUGUGCUAUAUUUGGUCAUUUAUUUUAAGUAUAUAUAUAUAUAUAUAUAUAUGCUGCCAACCUUAAGAAAAAAAAAUAAUGGUGGUAAACAGCAACACAUCAAAAAUAAACUUACAACCAAAUGCAACCAAAUGCAAAAUGCCAUGGAGACUCAUCACCACUGCCACUUCUUCCUCCAGCACCAUUGUGUCACAUGAAGUUACAGGCUACUUUACAAACCACCUCAUGCAUUGUGUGUUGUUGUCUGUAAAGAAUCCCCAACAUUCAAGAUCCUGACUGUGUGUAUAUGCACCACAUGACUGGGGCACCUGAUUGUGCAUUUCUCCUGAUUGUGCAGUGCAUCUUCCUUUGAGCAGGAGCUUAGACAUUGGGGUUUCUUUUCAUGCAACCCUGUGCAACAUGUGUUUGUUGAAGGAAGAAGAUGUCACUGGAGAGACACUGCCUGGCUGUGAGUGCUGAAGAGCCCAGACUCACUGGAAUAACUCUGGGGUUGGGUCAAAUGUCAAAAAUGUUUUUAAAUAGUUUUUAAUUUGUGCUGUUUUAAAUUUCGGUUUUAUGGUUUGCUUUUUGCUUUUUGGGGGCGGGAUUAACAUUUAGUUGCAGUUGGGUAUUAGUUUAAUUUUUAGUAGAACUGUGAAUUUUUUGUUUUGUUUUUUGAUUAGUUUCUAUUGUUUUAUAUAGUUUGUAUUCUGUUCUUAAGGGGGGAGAGUCAGGGCUGCCUGGGAGUAGGCCCCAGCCAACAGUGAUCUCAGUGAUCACGGGUAGGAGGAGGAGUUAUGCUAAGACCAGACCAUGUCAUUACUGAGGAGGCAGGUUUUGUUGUUGUUUGAAGACUAUCCCUGCCUUCGAGUCUGGUAUUGACCGGAUGGAAAUCCAAGAAGGGACCUCUUUUAAAAAAACUCUGUGAGUUCAAUCAAAUUCUUUAUUUGAUCAUCUCUUGCACCUCUUAUUAAAUCCCCUCAUUGCUGUCGACUUGGGUAUCAUUUUUUGCCACCCUUCCCUUGUCACUUGUAAAAUCCAUAGUAAAACAUACUUCUGGAAGUGUUACGCAAGGAGAGAGUCACAUAUUGUAUUAAUGAAAAUUCCUCUCCAUCAUUCUUCCCACUUUGUAUAGAAACUAGCUACAAAGUUUGGAAGGCCAGAGGUAACCUAGAGGGAAACCAAGAACACCUGCUAGUCUCCACCUCCCAUGUAGAUAACAGGAAGAAGAUCCAUGGUAAAAUAUCCAUGUCUCAUAGAUUUACAAUAUCUUCAUGGCUCCCCAUGGCAUUUCAAAAGCCCUAAAUGCCUAAUAUCUUUCAGGAAGACAGGGCAUUUAGCCUUCUAAAAAAACCAAUUGACCUCAGUUUGGGGAGAAUCGUUGGCAUAAAAUCCACACUGAGGUUUUAAGACUCAUUGCUUCUCACACUUUCUUUCCCUUGCAAGUACUCUGCACUCAAUUCUAAGAAGAAACGAACUUGUAGAACACAUCUUAUCUCGGCUAAUAUUCCUUUUCCAAUCUAGAUGGUCCUUCUGUGAACUCCUCUUUCUUUACUUUUACCCUGUUAGGAUUUUGGGGUGUUUUGGUAUGGUUUUAGUAUGGCAGUUUGAUCAAACUGCGGGAGGCAGUGGAGGACAGAAGUGCCUGGCGUGCUCUGGUCCACGGGGUCACGAAGAGUCGGACACGACUAAACGACUAAACAACAACAACAAGUAUGGCUUCAGGGAGACAUUUCAGAAUUGAGGGGAAUCUAUCAUUGUACAUGUGUAAUAUUGUGAAAAGCUUGAAAACAGACCUUUGUGUUAUAAUAUGAAUACUUAUAAAUUAACAAAUAACUAAAAAUAGGAAUCAAGUGAUGUAUAUUCCAAUGUAUAUUGUCACUCAUUCCGUAUCACAUGAAAUUGCAUGUGACAUGGUGAUUAUUGCUUGAACUGUUUAUCAUUUGGUACACUAUAGAAUGUUUUUACACGUAAAAAUACAAACACAUACCACACAUUCCCAUGAGUCUUUUCUUCUGAGUUUGAUUACACUCCUGGGAGUAAUGGAAGUAAAUAUGGAUAAAAUCCAGUGCAGCAUCUCAGUAUAGAGAGCAGUAAGAGAAAUUGCCUCCCAAACAGCUAUGGGGAGAGAAUGGUGUGAUGCAUUGAAAAGGCAAAUCACAUUGGCUGCCCAGAAAAACAACACAGAUCACAACCAGGCAUGAAAACGAAGCAUGUAAACACUUGCAUGAAAUCACCCAAGAUCUGCCCACAAACAGCUUGGUAAGUCUAUUUGAUUAGAUGACUUUUCAAUUAUUUUAUUCAUGACCUCUUGGAUAAACUUUGAAGUGUACACAGUUCAGGAAGAUCUCGAAACCAGAGUUUUACAAUGCAAAAGCCCAUGCUCAGUUUGUCACAGCCAGGGUUAAUGGCUAGGAAUAGCAGACAUUUCACAUAUUUUAUUACUGUAAAUUCCUUGGGGGUCUCUUUUAUUGUGAGAAGUGAUUUAUGAAUUCAGUGAACGUAAUGAAACAUCUAGAAGCAGAACCUUGAAGGCAUAACAUACCUACUGGAUAAAAAGCAAAUUUUAUCACAAGUUAAAUAUAUUUAUGGGCUUCCUAGUAAAAAAUCUGCAAAGGUCAGAUGUGCAGAAUAGCCACCAUGUCACCAAUAAUUAUAUAUUUUCAUUCAUUAAAGAGAGUAUUCUGGCCUGCACAUCCUCAUUCCACAUAGAAGAGGCCAGGUCAGCCUGUGUCGGUCUUAGCAAAUGCAUACUGGAAAUGUGACAUGGACAAAAACUGUUAAAUCUCUAUCACAUGAAAUUCCAUGUAACAUGGAGAUAACUAAUUGUGCCUCCUUUCUUAAAUAAAGGUUUAUAAAGAUAAAUAUUUAAAUAAAAUAGGGACAUGGGUGGUGCUGUGGUCUAAACCACUGAGCCUCUUGGAUUUGUCAAUCGGAAGGUUGGUGGUUUGAAUCCCUGCAAUGGAGUGAGCUCCCGUUGCUCUGUCCCAGCUCCUGCCAACCUAGCAGUUUGAAAGCAUGCCAGUGCAAGUGGAUAAAUAGGUACUGCUGCUGCAGCAGGUAGGUAAACAGUGUUUCUGUGCACUCUGGCUUCCAUCACGGUGUUCCAUUGUGCCAGAAGUGGUUUAGUCAUGCUGGCCACAUGACCCAGAAAGCUGUCUCUGGACAAACACCAGCUCCCUCCACCUGAAAGCGAGAUGAGCUGCACAACCCCAUAGUCACCUUUGACUAGACUUAACCGUCCAGGGGUCCUUUACCUUUUACUUUACCUUUCUUAAAUGUGUUUGCUCCUCUUUGCAGGAACCACACACAAGCACUAUGUUCAACCAGUCAUCUGGAGUGGUGGAAUUCCUUCUGUAUGGAUUCUCUGAUACUCAGGAAUGGGAGACAUUUCAUUUCAUUACGUUCCUGGUCAUUUAUCUGAUGGCUGUCACUGAAAACCUUCUCAUCAUCACAGUCAUCACCUGCAGUCCUCAGCUUCACAAACCCAUGUACUUCUUUCUAGCCAAUCUGGCAUUCCAAGACCUUGGCUCCAUAUCUGUUUCAGUUCCCAAAUCCUUGUCAAAUUCCCUGAUGAACACCAAUACCAUUUCAUACAAUGGAUGCAUCUGCCAGGUUUUCUACUUUAUGUUCUUCACUGUAUCUCAUUUUUUCCUCCUUGGCAUCAUGGCAUAUGACCGCUACUUUGCUAUCUGCAAUCCUCUGCACUAUGAGACUGCGAUGAACAGAAAAGCAUGUGUCAAAAUGGCAAUCAGUGCAUGGAUUACUGGGCUUAUCUAUUCCACAGUAUAUACUGGCAGUACAUUCACAACUGAGUUCUGUUCUAAUGACAUCAGUCAGUUUUUCUGUGAAAUUCCACAGUUAUUCAAAAUUGCUUGCUCUGAUUCAUAUCUCAUCGCAUUUUGGGUUAUUUGUGUUGGUGCGUUUCUGGCUUUUACAUACUUUGCUCUGAUAGUUUAUUCUUAUGUUCAGAUCUUCAGGGCAGUUCUCAGAAUUCCUUCUGCCCAGGGAAAGGAAAAGGCCUUCUCAACUUGCUUGCCACACCUUAUUGUAAUAUCUGUAUAUUUUGCCAGUGGUUCAUUUGCCUAUCUAAAGCCAACUUCUGGGUCCCCAUCAGCCAUGGAUCUUGUGGCUUCUAUGUUCUACUGCAUGUUGCCUCCAGUUAUAAACCCAAUAAUCUAUAGUAUUCGGAAUAGGCAACUGAAAUCAGCAUUGUGGAAGUUGACUGCAAAAUUUUUCACGCCAAUUUUUCUUCCCCAAUUUGCAAUAUGUUUCUCUUCCUGUAAAAAUAUAGUAAAACAUUUUUAAACAUACAGAUAAAACCUGUGUUGAAAUCUUUAUUUUCAUUUCAGUUGCAAAUCUUUUGAGAACACACUUGCUAAUUAAUAGCAAUUGUUGUUGUUUAGUCGUUUAGUCAUGUCCGUCUCUCCGUGACCACAUGGACCAGAGCACGCCAGGUACUCCUGUCUUCCACUGCCUCCCGCAGUUUGGUCAAACUCAUGCUGGUAGCUUCGAGAACACUAUCCAACCAUCUCGUCCUCCGUCUUCCCCUUCUCCUUGUGCCCUCCAUCUUUCCCAACAUCAGGGUCUUUUCCAGGGAGUCUUUUCUCAUGAGGUGGCCAAAGUAUUGGAGCCUCAGCUUCAGGAUCUGUCCUUCCAGUGAGCACUCAGGACUGAUUUCCUUAAGAAUGGAUAGGUUUGGUCUUUUUGCAGUCCAUGGGACUCUCAAGAGUCUCCUCCAGCACCAUAAUUCAAAAGCAUCAAUUCUUCGGUGAUCAGCCUUCUUUAUGGUCCAGCUCUCACUUCCAUACAUCACUACUGGGAAAACCAUAGCUUUAACUAUACGGACCUUUGUUGGCAAGGUGAUGUCUCUGCUUUUUAAGAUGUUGUCUAAUAGAUUCAGAAAUUGAUCUAUAAUUUCUGUGCUCCAUUAGAGUAAUAAACUGUUAUAUAGGUUCAGCAAUAGCUCUUACUAUUUUCAUGCUCUGUUGCAGAGGGGAUUUUUUUUAGUUAAUUUACUUGUUUUGUACUUAUUUUCACACAUAUUUUUAUGUUGAUUCUGCUGAAUUGUGCCAGGUCUAUGGCAAGUUAGAACUAUGCUUUCAGCUUGAUUGUAUGUGUGAUUGUAUUGGCCUAAUACCGUAUUGGCCUGAAUAUAAGCUGCACUUUCCCCCCAAAUUCUGACCAUGAAAGGUUAAAGUGCGGUUCAAUUUGCAACCUUACAAAAAUUGCCUUUUAUGAUAUUGCUGCUGAAACAGACACAUGGUAAAAGGGAACAAACAAAAAAAAAGUUUUAUUGCCGAUUUGCAAGCUUGAGACUGUUGUGGAAUUAAUUCUAAUGUCAUUCAUCGCUUUCACUUGCGGGUCCUUUCUAGUACCAGUAGGGUUUUCUUCUACAUCUGCCAUUUACGGCUGUGAGUGCCUGCGGAAUUUUAAGGGAGGGGCUUCUAUUCGGGUAUUGUUUUUUUACUCCCCUCCAUUGAAUGUUAAAGGUGUGGCUUAUUUGUGGGUGCGCCUUAUAUUUGGGCCAAUAUGGUAAAUCUCUAUUCAGCAGAUUUCUGCAAGCAGAACACUUCCUUGAUUGACAGAAUGUGAUUGUCCUCAGACUCAUGUACGUUAGGGGAGAUGGCCCCAUGGAAAGUGGACUUUCUAUAUUCACAGAGUUGCAAACAUUCUGGGAAACAUGAGCUACAAACCACCCACCAAGUCCAGUUUUUGCUUUGAGUCAUAGCAAAGCAUAAAAAAGUGGGCAGGUGGAUUGGGAGAUCUGGUGAAGGGUAAGAGAACAGGGCUCCCCAGAGGCUCUGUGGUCUUAAUUACCCACGGCCAUGCCUCCCACAGGUCCUGAUUGGACAGUGGGGCCACCCCUAGGUGGGUUCCGGCCAGCACCAGUGAUGUGGCCCAGACGGCAACAAGAGAGGCGUCAAUCUCCCUUCCACCAGAACACUGCAGGGCCCCCGAUACUUGGACACAACAGCGCCCACCAGAAAAAAGGUGAGCGGAUUUCUCAGAUACAUUUGUACCUUGGAUCCCAAAUGCCUUGGAGUCGAAUAUUUUGGCUCCUGAACUCCGCAAACCCGGAAAUGAAUGUUCCCAUUUGUGAAUGUUCUGCGGAACCCGAACGUCUGGUGUGGCUUCCGCAACUUUCGAUUGGCUACAGGAACUUACUGCAGGCAAUUGGAAGCUGCGCUUUGGUUUCCAAAAGUUUUGGAAGUCAAACGGACUUCCAGAAUGGAUUCUGUUCGACUUCCAAGGUACGACUGUAUUUAGAACAAGCUUUUUAAGGCUUGCACCUUUUCAAAAUCUUUUAACACCCUGUAGCUAUCAAAAAGAAAGGAUAUUUAAUGAAUUUUAAAAAUAAUUUAGCCUCACCUUGAGGGAAUGUUCAGGGUGGCAAUAGAGGAUAUAUUAUUUAUUAAUAUCCUUCCUAACUUGCGCUAGCAUGUUCCUUUACUUAUCAGAGUGCAUUCCCCUUUACACAGCAGAAAACUUGUUGCAGGCUCAUUAGAACCUCUUACUAUUAUGCAAUUCAAUCUGCCUCAGAUUGAACUGUAUGUUCCUGGUAAGAUACCCUUUUAAAUCCCUCCUUAAAGAAUAAAGACACCACAGUCUUAUUCAUAAGCAAUAAAAAGAAAGUUUACUCACGAUCAGGCAGAGCACAGUGUGAUGCCUGAAGGCAGGCUUUAGGCUUAAAGUUACAAACGUAUAAAAACAGGUUUACCCCAUAAGGGAAGUGACCUGAGGGACUGCUUGGCUGGCAGCCAGCAGUUCAUUCCAACAAGUUCGCAGGACAAAAGGAAGAUGGAAAAGAGAGAGAGUGGCAGCAUGCCUUGUCCUUUUACCAGGUCUGGAAAGGUCACACCCACCCACUAGUUACAUGCAAGGAAGGAUGUUCCAGGGCAGGAGGAACAGGAAGUUUUGACUGGCUCAACCAAACAUUCCAUUGCAUGUCCACUCUAGGAAAACAAGGAAUGUUGUACUUGGCUGAUCUCAGUGGAUUAACAUCCCACACACCUUGGGUAUAAAAGCUAAUGUUUCUUGCCAUAGCAAAAAGGUGUUUUCUCUCUCUGAAAUACCUUCACAGUGAGGUAGUAAGACUUGUUGCUUUUCUCACAAAAACUGGGCACUCAAAUCUGAGGAGAACAGAUAAUUGAACAUCACAACCACAGCAUAAAUUAUAUAGAAUAAUUAAGAAAUCAUCAGUAAAAUAAUUACAAAUCACCAGUAUAACAACCACCUUCUAUAGAACACUAUUAAGAAAGCUACUAAAAGAAAUUAAGCUAAAUAGAACAACCAUAACAAAGGUCAUAUUAUAAGAUCCUCAAGGCACUAUAGCUGCAGGUAGCAACGAAGUCAGAAAAUGAACAGAUUGUGUUAGAUUUUAGCAGGAGUAUACUUAUGUUGUCCACAUGGAUCAGAGGCGUGCAGUGAAUCUUUUUAAGGGGAUACAUUAGGGCUGGAGGUGCCAGCUUUUAAGGGUGAUUUGGGGCAGGGGCAACAUCUGUGUGUGAGCAUCACCCCUCCUUCCCUAAGCCGGACAGAAGCUUCUCCAGCUUUGGGAAGGAAGUGCCUGGCUUUAGUACUUUAAUACUCUCAUUUACCAGGAAUAUUGAGGGGACAAGCCUAGUUCCCUGGUCCACUGACUGCCUGCAAUGGACACGGAUCAACAAUAUUCAAAGUUUAGUUGGGAAGUAUAAGACAAGGGGCUAAACAAAAGAUUUAUGGAUGCAAACAUUUUCCUAAGGGAUUUAUAUUUGAAGCAGGGCUGGAACUCUUAUUAGGCAAAGUGAGGGGGCCACUCCAGUUUUGUUGGUCAAAUACAGUGGUACCUCGGGUUACAUAUGCUUCAGGUUACAUAUGCUUCAGGUUACAGACUCCGCUAACCCAGAAAUAGUACCUCGGGUUAAGAACUUUGCUUCAGGAUGAGAACAGAAAUCGUGCUCUGGUGGUGUGGCAGCAGCGGGAGGCCCCAUUAGCUAAAGUGGUGCUUCAGGUUAAGAACAGUUUCACGUUAAGAACAGACCUCCGGAACGAAUUAAGUACUUAACCCAAGGUACCAUUGUAGUGACAUCAAAAUGCUAUUUAUUUCAUUUUAAAUCAUUGCCAGAGUGCAGAAGGGGAAUUUGUAAAGGGUUUUCUGGUGUGUGCUUUUGCUUCAGGUGCCCAAAUUUCUUAAUUUGGCUUUUUUUUGGUAAAGAAGUCUAUCCCACUGGAAUUCUGCACAUACUGUUUUAUUUUGAACAGUGUGGAUGGUACUGUCACACAGAGAUAGCUGCUGUAGUUCAAGCAAAGUGUAGUUGGUGAUCCACACCAAAUAUCCUCCCCAUUGCUGGGUUCAUAACUGGUGGCAACAUGCAACAAACAUAGACGCCACAAGAUCUGUCUAUAUGUUGUGUAUCUUAUUUGCUGGUUCUGUAUACAAAUUAUCCAAUGGCCUAUUCUAUUCAAAGAUUCUUGAAGCAGUAACUUCCGGUUUGCUGCGGAAGGAAUGGCAGUGUGUUUCAGAUUGUCCGCUUAAGGGACGACCAUUUCGGGCUGGUUUGAGCAGUGGGGAGAGUGCUAGGAUUCAGUACCCCCCCCAAACACUCCACGGAAGAGUGGGGCAUCGAGGGGACUGGCAGGGUGAGAGGAAACUCAUUGUGAUCCUCCCUUUGAACUCACCUCUGUCUCAGCAGCAAGUGGGGGAGAGGGAGGGAAAAGCAAUUUGAGUUCGCUCAAUUCAGCACCAGAGCACCCAUCAGCCAUAGUCACAAGCUGCCGUCGAAAGCAGCAGAUCUUCCAAUCAAGGUAAUGAAUAGCCAAAAACUGUAUAGAAGAAGUUAGGCACUAAAAUUUAAUUUAGCAAAAACGGAAUCUGUCUAUAUGUCGUGUAUCUUAUUUGCUGGUUCUGUAUACAAAUUAUCCAACGGCCUAUUCUACUGAGAGAUUCUUGAAGCAAACAUUUUUUAAAAAAACAUUCACAGACAUUUUCCAGCAGUCCUCUGCUUUAUACAAUAGUUGAAAUUAAAAGAAUCAGCAAUAGCUGUUAUGUUAUUACAAUUUUUAAGAAAAAUAAAAAAUAAAGAACUUGGAACAUGAUAGAUAGAUAUUAUAUUAAUUAUAUUAAUUAUUAUAUUACAUUAUUGGAAAUAUUUUUAAAGCAUCUUAGUGUUAUAAUGGAAAUAUUUAUAAAUGAAUGAAAAAGAAACCAAGUGAUGUAUGUACCUCCAUAUAUUGCUACUCAAUCUACAUAUAUCAGGUGAAAUCCCAUGUGACGCAGUGAUUCUUGCUUGAAACUUUUAUCAUUUGGUAUUCUAAUAGAACACUUUUACAUGUAAACAGUAAAAUACACAUGCAUUCCACACAUAUGCCUGAGAAUUUUCUUCUGAGUUUAUUAGACUCCUGGGAAUGGAGAAACAUAAUACAAAUAAAAGUAAUUACUGCAUCUCCUUGUUCUGUUAGUCAGUGAGGAAAACUGUAACUGAGAUCACCUCUUAAACAGUGAUGGAGAGCUAAAGAUGUGACAGAUCAUACUGGGUGAACAGAGAAAAGCAGAAAAUGAGCAGACAUAAAGCAGCAGCAACAACAACAACAACAAACACCACCACAUAAAAUUGUAUUAAAUUCUGCAGGAUCUGCCCAUGAAUAGUUUGGUGAGUCAGUUUUUAUGGAUCACUUCUUAAGUGGCUUAUUGAGUAUCAACUUGAUAAAAAACCAAUUUAUCACAAGUUAAUUAUACUGAGGGCAAUUCUGGACAAAACUUUAAGGUUCAGGUGUGCUGAGAAGUUAACAUGUUACCAAUAUCUGUUUUAACAUUUUCAAUAAUUUGCAUGAAGCACUGAAGAGAAUGUGUCAGCUGCAGAUUCUCUUUGCUGGUGCAUGCUGGAAACCCGCGACAUGGAAAAAGGCAUUGAAUGAUGGGGAUCACCGUGGUCUUUUGGAUUAUGAUGGGAAUUAAUGCCUGCUUUACACACACACACACACACACACACACACACACACACACUUCUGGCAGUGGAAAAGGACAGUACUACCAAACAAGCAGGUUUUCAGGUCAGAAUUUCAUGCUUCCACUCAGCAUAAGCACCCUCCCCCCAAAAAAACCCCAGCACCCCAGCCAGGACUGAUGCACCACUCUUAGAGGUCAAUUGACCAUAUCAAGAGCUCCACCCCUUAAGACACUUAGUGGAGUUGCAAAUUUUCUAGCUGCAUUAUUCUGGGAGGAAUGAUUUCAGAUGUCAUCCCCACUCGAAGCUGGACCAAAGUAGAACAAUGCUCCAGUGGCAGAAACAGAAUGAUUAGUUGCCACUUUUGUAGUGUUAGACUGGUUAACUUAGACCAUCUCUACUGAAUGGUUGUUGCAGGAAACGCUCACUGAAGCCUGAGACACUUUAGAACAAACCAUCUGAUUCAGUUAAAUGUCUUGAGAAUAAUGUUUGAAUGUUUUUGGCACUGUAUUCAGCAGGUAAAGCCCUGCAACAAGAUGGCUUGUGGAGGGUUUCUGCUCAGGGAAGCAGCAGCUGCCUUCCAUUCCCUCUCACCUCAGUUUCUCUGUUUCUUUCCAACAGUCAUCAGUAAUAUCCAAGGCAACACGAUGACCAAGUACAACAAUGCAAUAUCAAUAUAAACUCUUUAUAUAAUCUAUACGAAACAUUGAGCAAUAUGAAAUAUAUGAAAUAUGCACUAUCUGCAAAACCAAUUCAUGCCUAUAGUUUGUAAUAAUUUGAAUUAUUGUAAGUUACCAUGUAUUUGCAUGUCAUCGUUUCAAUAAUUCAUUUGCAGUUUAUGAAGCAUUUCUGUAUCCUUCUGCUGUGCUGAAGAAGAAUUCCAUGAAACAGUGGGUAUAUCCAGAAUCACUGUUCAUACAUCUGUUUCGGACCACUUCUACAGCACUGGACGUCAUAAAACAAAGCCUUGUUUUCAUCAGAUAAGAAUCUAACCUAUUCCUUCUUUCAGAGACUUGCAUAGUCUACAAAGACUUUCAGAGACUUAUAAGACUUAUGUUUAUUUGGUUCUAUGUUUUCAAGAGAAUCCAUUAAUAAUAAUAAUAAUAAUAAUAAUAAUAAUAAUAUAUUUUUUAUUUAUAUCCCGCCAUCCCCACCCGAAGCCGGGCUCAGGGCAGCUAACAACAAUAAAAUAAUACAACAUUCUAAAAUCAUUUCAUUAUAAAAUUAAUUCAAAUCAAAUUGAUGGCAACCAUUGGGCUAGAGUUCUGUGAAGAUUGCCAAAGGAGGGAGUCAGGCUGUGCCCUGGCCAAAGGCUUGGUGGAACAGCUCUGUCUUGCAGGCCCUGCGGAAAGAUGUCAAGUCUCUAAAGAGUAAAGAUUUUGUGACUUUCAGAGAUUUAUAAGAUUUCUGUUUAUUUGGUUUUGCAGAUAGUGCAUAUUUCAUAUAUUUCAUAUUGCUCAAUGUUUCGUAUAGAUUAUAUAAAGAGUUUAUAUUGAUAUUGCAUUGUUGUACUUGGUCAUCGUGUUGCCUUUGAUAUUACUGAUAAUUGUUUGCAACACAGGGGUUUAAUUAUUUGGUUACUUUUUCCAACAGUCAGUUAGCAUUCCAUGCUCAGUGAGCAUCCUGAAUAGUCCUCGAACUGUUUUCCACUUGAUUCCCCCUUCAUUUGCCAACCCCACUUCAGGUGCUGGUGUUUCACUAGUUUCAUUUAAUCCUUUCAUGUCUCCACUGAGGAGCAUUUAUGUCUCUCUUCUGUCCCUGUGGAAAUUGAACCAGAAACAUGCCUAGCCAGAUAAUGAAACCAGUUGUUGUUGUUUGUGUAUUGUUGCAUGCCACCCCAGUCUCCAAGCAGUGCCUGUUUCCAGGGGCUCCAGGCACUUCCCCAGGGUUUGUGUUUUUUUUUCUGGAUGAGGCUCAGCAGAGACUAUGGUGUCUUUAUGAUAUAUGGUUUAUUUAUACAUAUCAUAAAAUUAUAGAAUUGUGGAGAUGGAAGAGACCCUGAGGAUCAUCUAGUCCAAACCGCUGCAAUACAGGGAUCAAAAGUGCAACCGUGUCAUUAUCAGCACCAUGCUCUAACCAACUGAGCUGUCCAGGCUCCAUUAAUAUAUUCAACCUAAGCCUACAAUGGAGGGGUGCACAGCAUUAACACCUCAAGAGGACAAAGGUUCUCUGGAACCACAGCCUAUGUUUUAAACAGACAUCAAACAUUGCUCUGAUUCUCUGGUUUCCCAGCUUCCUGCUUUGCGUCUAGCUCAGUCUCUGCUCUCAACUCUGCCUUUGUCCUUCUAACUAGCCACAAGUUGAGGGAUGGGCCCCCAUCAACAGCGCUACUUUGAAGAUUGCUGGUAUUAAGAGAGGCCUUGACUUGAUGGAAGUUGCAGUUCUAGUUGAAGCACCCAGUGCUACAGUCUGUGUGCUGAUAUGAGAUUAGUAAAGCAAACAGUCUAAUUUUUCAGCGCCUAAAUGAAAUCGAGCAUCAGAACAACUUGGCCACAAUAAGGAAAUUUUGCCCAUGAUAUGACUAUUUUCCACCUUCCCAUUUCGACUUUCUGGCACCCUAUCUCCAUAACCUAGCAAUUCUAAAAUAUAGACUUGCUUUUAGCCUCACAAGAUUGAAUGUAUUGCCCUCGACUGUACUUGAUGGAAGAUUCCAACAGAUUCCACACAAAAAAUGUUUAUGUCCCUGUGGAGAUGGCAGUACCAAAUCAGUGGCGCAUGCCCUUCUGACUUGCACUCUUUAUAAAGACUUUAUGAAUGAGAUUAUGACGCCUCUUUUAUUAUCCAUUCCAGGUUGCCCAACCACUGCCACAGUGUCCUUUCUCUUGGCAGAUCAAGAUGACCAGAUGACAGCAAGGGUUGCAAGGUUUUUAGCUGGGGCAAUCAGAUUAAGAUACAUUAUUUGACUGCUGAUUCAGGACCCUAAAGUGUG